GCACAGGUGCUGCAUGGCUGUCGUCAGCUCGUGUCGUGAGAUGUCGGUUAAGUCCGCUAACGGGCGCAACCCUCACUGUGUGUUAUAUGUGUCACACGGGACCGCCGGUCUUAAGCCGGAGGAAGGUGGGGAUGACGGUCAAGUCAGCAUGGCCUUUAUAUCCUGGGCUACACACACGCUACAAUGGCCAACACAAUAGGUUGCUAAGCCGCGAGGUGGAGCCAAUCCAUAAAGUUGGUCUCAGUUCAGAUUGUAGGCUGCAACCCGCCUGCAUGAAGAUGGAGUUGCUAGUAACCGCAGGUCAGCUAUACUGCGGUGAAUACGUUCCCGGGGCUU
This 336-nucleotide ribosomal RNA is filed under the name uncultured Leptolinea sp. RNAcentral describes it as "bacterial SSU rRNA". It matches the Rfam family "Bacterial small subunit ribosomal RNA", at positions 1032 to 1382 of the family's 1533-position model. The record is from RNAcentral. Lineage: Bacteria; Bacillati; Chloroflexota; Anaerolineae; Anaerolineales; Anaerolineaceae.